CCCAGAAAAAGAGUUGGAAGGCAGGAACAGAUCCACCAAACCCUCUGACUGUUCCCCCUAAAGCAGAGAAGCUCCAAGGUGAAUGUGAAAAAUGCAAAGCAGGGGAGAAGGAAAAUAGCUGCUGUGGAAGGAAAUAACUUCUUGAAAAGUGACAGAACCAGAAGCCUUGGGGUUUUGUUUUGUUUUUUUGGUGUGUGGGGUUUUUCCCCCCUUGCAUGUGUGCUUCUUGCUUGCUUUCUCUACCCCCACCGUUCUAAACAACCCUGCUGUUCUGUCUCCAAAGGAUUUCUGAGUUGAGGCUGGCAGCUGGCUAGGAAGAGAAGGAAAAGUCGGCGUUUAUGCACACCAGACGCACCAGCGCAAAGAGACUCCAGCUGCGGCCGGGAGAAGCGCUUCGGAAAGGGCAUCUGAGUGACCUUUGGAGGCCUGAAGACCGCCACCUUCCAGCAAGAAGUGGCAGGGAAUUAGUCAGCUGGGGGAGACCGAUUCGCCAGGUGCCCAAAGGAGGCUCCGCUGGCGAGGAUCGCACCUGGCCCGGGGGCAGAGGUGGGCGGCAGGAGCCACGUGCAGACGUCCACCUGCUCGACCUCCCCCCAGAGGACCUCUUCUCCCUCGGGGCGAGGCGAAGGAGGGAGGCCCAGGUCAGCAGAGGGAGCGUCCUCCACCGCAGAGAGCCACAAAAACUUCUGGAAUCUGCAUCUGUGUGUCGUCCCCAGACCGUUUCCGAUGUCCUUCAAAGUCUGGAUCCCCAGGGAGUGAGAAGAUGGGUUUUGGUAGCAAAGCUGCCCUGGUUUGGCAGAAUGCAGAAAGCGGAAUGAGAUUUCGCAGGGCGGUUGGUGGUCAGAAGGAGGAUUAACCCAAAGUCGGGUGUGGAGGUUUUCUGGAGUUGCCGCUGAAUUAUUUUUGGACUUUCCUGGAUGAGAUGGGCCCUUUGAGGUGAUUUGUGUUCCCACCCCCCACCCCACCCCUUGUGUUUUUGUGGGUUGUUGUUUGUUUUUGCAAGGAUGACUGGCCUUGUGGGUUUUGAUUCUUUCGGAGAUCUCUGCUUUCUCGGGGACGCUUUUUGACGGAUGAUUUUCGGAGAGACUGGACUGCGAAGGUAAGAGGACGGGGGCUCUUCCCAUUGUUUUCCGGGCUGUUAAGGCAGGGUAUAAUCCUGCUUUCCGGGGGAGGUGGAAAUGUGAGGACAUGCAGAGUUUGAGGACAACUUGCUGCGAUCAUUUUAACAACCAGAUCAAGAGGAGAAGUGUCUUAAAUAUGGGAGGGUGACGGAAGAUGUGUACAUUUCCUUCUUUCCCCCCAGUGCCAUCUCAAAUCAGAUCUGUCCCUGCAGCAAAAUGAGGUGGUCGGAUCCUGAUGAAGUAGAAUGGCUUUAUACCCCUUCAGGCUGCAUGGAGUGGUGGGGGACAUAGGAAAUUAUACAUUGGUUUAUUUACUCUCCGGUGUUUCACACAGGGGGGUAAUUUGCAGUCCCCCCUAGAGAUGACAAGGAUUGAAUCCUGGCAUCCAAAAUAGUUUCCCUACCCUUGGGCUCCAUCCCUUCUCCAGCCACAGUUUUGAGCAUUCCCCCAUAUUAAAAUGAAAGCCAAGCAAAAUGCCCCGCAAGCAGAAAUCUAGCACAGCAUGCAGAGGGCAAGGUUUUUCUCCUUGCGGUCAAACAAGGAGCUUUUUUUUUCUUUUCCAUUUUACAUGUCAGGAAGCAUUUGAGCAUUUCCCCCCCCCCUUGCAACCUUGAAAGCAGCACAGUCCACUACUCCCGUCCUCCUCAGGGCCAUGCUUUUGGGCAAAGUGGAAAUUCUACUUUUUGAACACAGGACCGGAGUCGGGAAUUUAUUUCUGGGUGGCUUAAUGUAGCCUACGGUGAACGAACUUUACAAAUUUGGGUGGCUCUCAGAUGCUGGAUAGAGAAUAGUUUUCAUAUCCCUUGUUAGAGGGGUAGGGCAGUGCCAAAUACUCAACUAAUUGGGACUAAGAAUUUAUCCCUAGAUUUAAAUAUUUGGUUUUUUUAGGUUAGGGGGAUACCAAGAACACUGAUAUACCAACUGCUUCAUUCACUAAUUAAUGAAUAGCAUAUCUCCCCAGUGUUGACAGGGAUGUGCAAAGUUAAAAUCCCCAGGGAAGAAUUUUGCACGUGAAAUAACGGCUCGACGCACAUGUUUCAACAGUGCGUAAACCAGAAACCUCUGCUUUCUCACUGUAGAGUUAUUGCAGGGCAGGGAAAUGAGGGCAGGGCAUAUUCCUCCGUUUUCACGAAUACAUAAAUGAGUAUCAGAGCAGCUGCUCGCAUCAACUAUGAACUCGUUUCCAGAACUGCCCAACUUCUACUUACGGGAGCAAAACUGCAUAGCCGACUAUCGCAAACUCGGAAUUUAUUUAUUUAGCGAAAUCUAGCUUUGGGAUACAGUGUGAUUUCCUCACUUGCUGGCGACAAAAGCAUGAAGCUUGCACCUUGUAAUCGGUAUGCCUAGGUGCACAUUUAGAAAUACCGUAUUUUUUGCUCUAUAAGACUCACUUUUUCCCUCCUAAAAAGUAAGGGGAAAUGUGUGUGCGUCUUAUGGAGCGAAUGCAGGCUGCGCAGCUAUCCCAGAAGCCAGAACAGCAAGAGGGAUUGCUGCUUGCGCAGCGAUCCCUCUUGCUGUUCUGGCUUCUGAGAUUCAGAAUAUUUUUUUCCUUGUUUUCCUCCUCCAAAAACUAGGUGCGUCUUGUGGUCUGGUGCGUCUUAUAGAGCGAAAAAUACGGUAAUUGCAAAGGUUUAUAUAGAGAUGCGUUUCAUCUCCUGGAAUGGGGAAGACUGACAAGGCGAUUUGUGUUCUGCAUCUGUAAGCUGCCUUGAGUCUUUGUCUGGGAAACAGUCAAGGUAUAAAUAAAUAUAUCAUCAUCAAUAUCACAAUCUGUUGUUGAUGUGCUCACUGUAGAUGGGAAGCAUGGAAGUAUUUUCAGAUCUGCCUUCUUGGCAUUCUUUGGCAGUGUUCAGACCAGUGCCGGAUUUACGUAUAAGCUAAACAAGCUAUAGCUUAGGGCCCCACUCUCUUGGGGGCCCCCCAAAAAAUUAAAGGAAAAGUAAACACUGGAUGUACAUUUCCAAAAUAUAAGAUAAAAAACAGACCAAUAAUAUAAGACCUACAUACAGCAACAGCGCUUUGUGUUGUGUAGGCUCCUAUGAUGUAAGUCAUGGGCCCCGCCUGCUCCCUAAAAUAUCACUGGUUUGCUCCUUUCUAUAUAUAGGGUGCCUACAUUCUGCAUGGACUGGUUGCAACAUGGGCAAAUGGCUUGAGAUACCUAUGAGGUCCAUAAAUGACCAUAUAGCAUAUAUUCAACACAAAAAAACAGCGACAAUUUGUUGUGGACAAAGGACAGCUGGACAUAGAAAGGGCCCCAUUACCUUCAGUAGGGCCUCAUCAAACCUAAAACCAGCCCUGGUUCAGACUAUACAUUUAAAUACAUACGAUUGGAUCCUGACGUUUACCCACAACAGAGCUACCUUUCCCAGCACCCAGAGCAAACUACAGUUCCCAGGAUUCCUUGGGGGGGGGAAAGUCACGUGUCCUUAUGUGUGUCUGCAGACUUUUGUCUCUAAACUAGGCUUGGGCUGGACAGCCCCCCAGACAGAGAGCAGACCCUCCAAGCCUCUCUGUUUUCCAGGGAUAGUCCCGGAUUUACGGAAGCCAUCCUAGUUUCUGAUCUGAUCCCGGAACGUCCCGCUUUUCCUUAGGGCAUCCCUAUUUUCAUCGGAAAAAUGUUGGAGGGCAAGGAGUUAUGUGACUGCCCCCCGCAAGCCAAGGUGAUAAGUCACAAUGCAACCUUUAGAAGACAUCUGGAUAGGGAGGUUUCUUAAUGUUCUGUUUUCUUAUGUUUUUACCUAUGUUGGGAGCUGCCCAGAAUGGCUGGGGAAACCAGUCAGAUGGGCGGGGCAUAAAUAAUGAAAGUGUUGUUGCUGUUGUUCUUCUUCUUCUUCUUCUUCUUCUGCUUCUGCUUCUGCUUCUGCUUCUUGUUAUUAUUAUUAUUAUUAUUAUUGAUGUUCUAGUCAGACGAGCGAACUGCUAGGUUGGCAGGAGCUGGGACUGAGCAACGGGAGCUCACCCCGUCGUGGGGAUUUGAGCCGCCGACCUUCUGACUGGCAAGCCCUAGGCUCAGUGGUUUAACCCACAGCGCCACCCGCAUCCCUAAAGGUAAAGGGACCAUUGACCAUUAGGUUCAGUUGUGGACGACUCUGGGGUUGCAGCGCUCAUCUCGCUUUACUGGCCGAGGGAGCCGGUGUACAGCUUCCGGGUCAUGUGGCCAGCAUGACUAAGCCACUUCUGGCGAACCAGACCAGCGCACAGAAACGUCGUUUACCUUCCCGCCGGAGCGGUACCUAUUUCUCUACUUGUGCUGGUGUGCUUUCGAACUGCUAGGUUGGCAGGAGCUGGUACAGAACAACGGGAGCUCACCCGGUUGCGGGGAUUCGAACCGCCAACCUCCUGAUCGGCAAGCCCUAGGCUCUGUGAUUCUGUGAUCCUGAACUCAGCUUCAAGGUUCCAUCUCUCUCUCUCUAUAGAUCACUCUCUUGUUUAGGCUUCCUCAAAUACCUCUGGCCGCUUGCUCUUUCGAGACGCUGCCAGGCGCCGUGGAGUGUCUUAAGUCAUAUAAAUUUUUACUGUAUUGCAAUCUCAAGUGCCUUCUGGAGAAGCGAAGGACCGCUGCCAAGCCGCUUCACGAGAAAACUUUGUUUAGGGAAGCAUGUUAUUCCAAGGCCCUGCUCCUCCCCUCCCGGUUCUGCAGGCUGUGGCCGCAUUUCCCCCCAAGCGCGCAUGCUUUCCUUGACUGAGAUGGUUGUUCCUGAACCAUGCGCUGACUGGUGGCUGGUGCUCCUUGCGACUGGACCCAGAGCCAAGGACAAGGCAGCGCCAAGCCAUUCUACUUUGGUCUCGCUCCUCUUCCCUCCUGAGUUCUACAGGAGCAGCCUUGGGUCUUGAGGAGCAGGAGGAAGGUGGAAGGAAGCAUCUCCCUCUAGUUUGGCUGAAAGUAACAAAGGUCCGUAUAGUUAAAGCUUUGGUUUCCCCAGUAGUGAUGUAUGGAAGUGAGAGCUGGACCAUAAAGAAGGCUGAUCGCCGAAGAAUGGGUGCUUUUGAAUUCUGGUGCUGGAGGAGGAGACUCUUGAGAGUCCCAUGGACUGCAAGAAGAUCAAACCUCUCCAUUCUGAAGGAAAUCAGCCCCGAGAGCUAACUGGAAGGACAGAUCUUGAAGCUGAGGCUCCAAGACUUUGGCCACCUCAGGAGAAGAGAAGACUCCCUGGAAAAGACCCUGAUGUUGGGAAAGAUGGAGGGCACAAGGAGAAGGGGACGACAGAGGACGAGAUGGUGGGACAGUGUUCUCAAACCUACCAGCAUGAGUUUGACCAAACUGCAGGAGGCAGUGGAAGACAGGAGUGCCUGGCAUGCUCUGGUCCAGGGGGUCAUGAAGAGUUGGAAACGACUAAACAACAACAACAAAGGAUCUAGUGGCUGGCUGAGGGCAUACAUAGAACCUCCAUUGGCUCCCAGGACGUUUCCGAGCACAAUUCAAAGUGUUGGUGCUGACCUUUCAAGCCCUAAAUGGCCCAGUAGACCUGAAGGAGCGUCUCCACCCCCAUCGUUCAGCCCGGACACUGAGGUCCAGCUCCAAGGGUCUUCUGGCGGUUCCCUCCCUGCGAAAAGUGAGGUUACAGGGAACCAGGCAGAGGGCCUUCUCGGUGGUGGCGCCCUCCCAUCAGUUGUCAAGGAAAUAAACAACUAUCUGACUUUCAGAAGACAUCUGAAGGCGGACCUGUUUAGGGAAGUUUCUAAUGUUUGAUGUGCUUUUAAUAUCCUGUUGGAAGCCGCCCAGAGUGGCUGGGGAGACCCAGCCAGAGGGGCGAGGUAUAAGUAAUAAAUUAUUAUUAUUAUUGAGUGUUUGGGGCACACUGAGCCAAUUCUGUUUCAGGGACUAAGUACCAGUUGUCAACUUGUGGGGCAAUGUCUGGAGAAUCGAGAAGUUGUCUACCUUUGCCUUGCCGAAAAGGGAUCCGUGAGCUACCUGUUCAAUGAAUACUCCUUCCUGCUGUGGCUACCUUUUGUGGGAGGUAUUUAAACAGCGUCUGGUUGUUCGUCUGUCGGGGAAGCUGUGCAUUCAUGAAGGGAUUUCUGCUCGACCUGUCUUCCUCACAGCUGUUUCUGUUCUGCUGCGAUUCGGUUCCGCCAAAUGCCACAUUCCUCUGUGGCAUCCCCUGCCUGCUAUUUAAUGCAACCUCGCCGAUUGUUUGCAUAUGUUACCCUAAGCUGUGAAUUCCAUGGAACCAAGGGCAUAAUUAUUUCUACCCCCUCCGCUGAAAUGCAAAGGAAGCGCGAUUUAAACGGGGGAAAGUAAUCAGUUACAGGCAGAAAACAACAGCAGCGAACUUCUAAACAUCUCCAGCGCUGCACCCUUUUCUUGCAGGGCUCCAACCCUUUUCCAAAUCUUUUCCAAACUCUUCAAUGUCCUUUUUGAGCGACGGUGCAUUGUAAAGGGUUGGACUAGAUGACCGCAAGGGGGACCUCCAACUUUACAGUUCUAUGAUUCUCUGUGUCCUAACACUAGAACCCAUGGAAAUCCAAUGAAGCUGGACACCGGAAGAUUCAGGACAGACAAAGUCCUACUUCACAGAGCAUGUUAAGUGUAAGAGAACAUGUAAGACUAAGAGUACCGUAUUUUUUGCUCUGUAAGACUCACUUUUUCCCUCCUAAAAAGUAAGGGGAAAUGUGUGUGCGUCUUAUGGAGCGAAUGCAGGCUGCACAGCUAUCCCAGAAGCCAGAACAGCUUUCACUGCGCAGCGAUCCCUCUUGCUGUUCUGGCUUCUGAGAUUCAGAACAUUUUUUUUCUUGUUUUCCUCCUCCAAAAACUAGGUGCGUCUUGUGGUCUAGUGCGUCUUGUAGAGCGAAAAAUACGGGUAUGCGCUCUCUCUGGCGCAAGGAUUCAUAUCCUAAACCUGUGCCAAAAUAAGCACCCCUCUCCCUUAAUGCAAAUUGAGGAAAUGUGCGCAGCGCUUCUUAUUUUGCAUAAUUCUGGUUUUCCUAGUUGAGGCAGGUGGGAGAGCCCAUCUUCCCCCUCCCCUCCCCGGUUGCUGGAAAUCUGCAGCCGAUUUUUGCACCCACUCUUAAAACGGCUAUUGAACCUCUUUCCUGCUUCUGGAAAUCCCAGUCUAGCGACAAGGCAGUACGAGUCGCCGUUGAGGCAGACGGGCUGUGGGACUCCUUCUUCUCCCUUGUUAACUGGGAGAGGCAAGCGGUGAUAUAUAAAGCGUUAUAGGCACAUCCUCUGAAUGGCUCUCGCGCACAUGGACUGAAUAUUUCCCAGAACCUCUCUCUCUCUCUCUCUCUCUCUCUCUCUCCUUAAGUAAAGCAAGCUGAGAUUCUCAGGAAGUUGAGUUGUGGGGUCAAAGCUGCUUUCUGUGAUUUUUACGGCGCUCCUGGAGAAUUGCAGCAUCUAAACGCAGCCCUGAAUUAGACGGAUUUCCUGCUCUGUUGAAGUAAGGUG
Molecule: non-coding RNA, 7509 nt
Organism: Podarcis lilfordi (Lilford's wall lizard)
Lineage: Eukaryota; Metazoa; Chordata; Lepidosauria; Squamata; Lacertidae
Source: the annotation of a GenBank genome assembly